GACGAACGCUGGCGGCGUGCCUAAUACAUGCAAGUUGAACGCUAAAGCUUUAACUGGUGCUUGCACCGACCUAAGUUUUUAGAGUAGCGGACGGGUGAGUAACACGUGGGUAACCUGCCCAUCAGAGGGGGAUAACACUUGGAAACAGGUGCUAAUACCGCAUAAUUCCUUUACCGCAUGGUAAAAGGCUGAAAGGCGCUUCUGGUGUCACUGAUGGAUGGACCCGCGGUGCAUUAGCUAGUCGGUGGAGUAACGGCCUACCGAGGCGAUGAUGCAUAGCCGACCUGAGAGGGUGAUCGGCCACAUUGGGACUGAGACACGGCCCAAACUCCUACGGGAGGCAGCAGUAGGGAAUCUUCGGCAAUGGACGAAAGUCUGACCGAGCAACGCCGCGUGAGUGAAGAAGGUUUUCGGAUCGUAAAGCUCUGUUGUUAGAGAAGAACAAGUGGAAUAGUAACUGAUUUCACCAUGACGGUAUCUAACCAGAAAGCCACGGCUAACUACGUGCCAGCAGCCGCAGUAAAAC
Molecule: ribosomal RNA, 526 nt
Filed under: uncultured bacterium
Lineage: Bacteria
Description: bacterial SSU rRNA
Rfam family: Bacterial small subunit ribosomal RNA
Source: RNAcentral